Equus caballus (horse) is the source of this 514-nucleotide long non-coding RNA. RefSeq lists it as uncharacterized. The record is from RefSeq and is a predicted model, not a curated record. NCBI's taxonomy places the organism in Eukaryota, Metazoa, Chordata, Mammalia, Perissodactyla, Equidae.
CGGCGCUCGGGCUGGCUCGCCGGCCGCCUCCGCCGCCGGGCACGACCAGCGUCUGCAUCUGCCGCACCAGCUCGGGCAUGCGGUCCCAGUGGCCCUCGGCGCGGCAGCGCUCCAGCUCGCUCUCCAUCUUCAGGUCUUGGAGAAUCUUUGAUAGUGACUUUCAGCUGAGAAUGAAACCAGAGCUUAAAAUCCACCAUAAGAGGUCUUCUGUGUGCUGAAGGAGGUUUACCUUAAGGAAACAUUUUUUAGACCUCGUUUUCAACCACAUGAUCUUGGGAAGAGGACCUUGAGCCUUAGAGGAGACCCCAGCCCUGGCCAGCACCUUGAUUUCACCUUGUGAGCGUCUGAGCAGAGAACCUAGUUAAUCCCCACCUGGACUUCUGAUCUACGGAACUGUGAGGCAAAAAAUGCGUGUUUUUUUAAGCUGCUAAGUUUUAGUAAUUUGUUAUGCAGAAAUAGAAAACUAUUACAGUGUUUUUGCCAGUGAAUAAAUCACUCAGUUUUUGUCUGAAAA